GACGAACGCUGGCGGCGUGCUUAACACAUGCAAGUCGAGCGGUAAGGCCCUUUCGGGGGUACACGAGCGGCGAACGGGUGAGUAACACGUGGGUGACCUGCCCUCAGCUCUGGGAUAAGCCUGGGAAACCGGGUCUAAUACUGGAUAUGACUCCAUGACGCAUGUUGUGGGGUGGAAAGCCUUGUGCGGCUGAGGAUGGGCCCGCGGCCUAUCAGCUUGUUGGUGGGGUGANGGCCUACCAAGGCGACGACGGGUAGCUGGUCUGAGAGGAUGUCCAGCCACACUGGGACUGAG
Molecule: ribosomal RNA, 294 nt
Filed under: uncultured bacterium
Lineage: Bacteria
Description: partial 16S ribosomal RNA
Rfam family: Bacterial small subunit ribosomal RNA
Source: RNAcentral